GGACCCGUGGUGUAGCGGUUAACAUACCUCCCUGUCACGGAGGUGAUCGCCGGUUCGAAUCCGGUCGGGUCCGCCA
RNAcentral lists this transfer RNA (76 nucleotides) under Candidatus Berkelbacteria bacterium. Its description in RNAcentral is "tRNA-Asp". It matches the Rfam family "tRNA". From Rfam's summary of the family: Transfer RNA (tRNA) molecules are approximately 80 nucleotides in length. Their secondary structure includes four short double-helical elements and three loops (D, anti-codon, and T loops). The record is from RNAcentral. Lineage: Bacteria; Candidatus Berkelbacteria.